CCUACGGGUGGCAGCAGUGAGGAAUAUUGGGCAAUGGACGAGAGUCUGAACGAGCCAAGUAGCGUGAAGGAUGACGGCCCUAUGGGUUGUAAACUUCGUUUAUAGGGGAAUAAAACAGGGUAUGCAUACCCUCUUGUAUGUACCAUAUGAAUAAGGAUCGGCUAACUCCGUGCCAGCAGCCGCGGUAAUACGGAGGAUCCGAGCGUUAUCCGGAUUUGUUGGGUUUAAAGGGGGCGUAGGUGGGUUAUUAAGUCAGUUGUGAAAGUUUGCGGCUCAACCGUAAAAUUGCAGUUGAAACUGGCAGUCUUGAGUGCAGUAGAGGUGGGCGGAAUGCGUGGUGUAGCGGUGAAAUGCUUAGAUAUCACGAAGAACACCGAUUGCGAAGGCAGCUCACUGGACUGCAACUGACACUGAUGCUCGAAAGUGUGGGUAUCAAACAGGAUUAGAUACCCUAGUAGUC
This 460-nucleotide ribosomal RNA is filed under the name uncultured bacterium. RNAcentral's name for it is "partial 16S ribosomal RNA". It matches the Rfam family "Bacterial small subunit ribosomal RNA", at positions 338 to 795 of the family's 1533-position model. The record is from RNAcentral.